Molecule: ribosomal RNA, 468 nt
Filed under: uncultured bacterium
Lineage: Bacteria
Description: partial 16S ribosomal RNA
Rfam family: Bacterial small subunit ribosomal RNA
Source: RNAcentral
GACGAACGCUGGCGGCGUGCUUAACACAUGCAAGUCGAACGGAAAGGCCCUGCUUUUGUGGGGUGCUCGAGUGGCGAACGGGUGAGUAACACGUGAGUAACCUGCCCUUGACUUUGGGAUAACUUCAGGAAACUGGGGCUAAUACCGGAUAGGAGCUCCUGCUGCAUGGUGGGGGUUGGAAAGUUUCGGCGGUUGGGGAUGGACUCGCGGCUUAUCAGCUUGUUGGUGGGGUAGUGGCUUACCAAGGCUUUGACGGGUAGCCGGCCUGAGAGGGUGACCGGCCACAUUGGGACUGAGGUACGGACCAGACUCCUACGGGAGGCAGCAGUGGGGAAUAUUGCGCAAUGGGGGGAAGCCUGAUGCAGCAACGCCGCGUGCGGGAUGACGGCCUUCGGGUUGUAAACCGCUUUCGCCGGUGACGAAGCGUGAGUGACGGUAAUGGGUAAAGAAGCACCGGCUAACUACGUG